Molecule: long non-coding RNA, 310 nt
Filed under: Elaeis guineensis (African oil palm)
Lineage: Eukaryota; Viridiplantae; Streptophyta; Magnoliopsida; Arecales; Arecaceae
Description: long non-coding RNA (EGUI_LNC018196)
Source: RNAcentral
UAGGCAUCACUCUUGGAGAUAGAAGAGAGGUGGGUGGCAUCCCUUUUCUUUAAUGUCAAAUGUUGGUGCCAAGUUGUUAGUAGUUUCAUCCUCUUCCUCUCAAGUUUGUUGAGCGUUAGUUACAAUCAUUUCUUAUUUGUUGUUCUUCUUGAUUAGUUGAGGGAUCAAAAAAGAUUCUUAGUUUCUUCAAGAAUGGAGAAAGAAAGAUCCAAAGGGUUCACAAAUUGAUCCAUGUCCAGAUUUGAUUCAAGCCUUUUCAGGCUUUCGGUUCAAGCAAGCAGGAUCCAAGAGAAAAUAAUUGAGAUCGGCC